AUUGAACGCUGGCGGCAUGCCUUACACAUGCAAGUCGAACGGCAGCACGGACUUCGGUCUGGUGGCGAGUGGCGAACGGGUGAGUAAUGCAUCGGAACGUGCCAUUGAGUGGGGGAUAACGUAGCGAAAGUUGCGCUAAUACCGCAUAUUCUGUGAGCAGGAAAGCAGGGGACCGCAAGGCCUUGCGCUCUUUGAGCGGCCGAUGUCAGAUUAGCUAGUUGGUGAGGUAAAGGCUUACCAAGGCGACGAUCUGUAGCGGGUCUGAGAGGAUGAUCCGCCACACUGGAACUGAGACACGGUCCAGACUCCUACGGGAGGCAGCAGUGGGGAAUUUUGGACAAUGGGGGCAACCCUGAUCCAGCCAUGCCGCGUGAGUGAAGAA
RNAcentral lists this ribosomal RNA (382 nucleotides) under uncultured bacterium. Its description in RNAcentral is "bacterial SSU rRNA". It matches the Rfam family "Bacterial small subunit ribosomal RNA", at positions 30 to 412 of the family's 1533-position model. The record is from RNAcentral.